GACGAACGCUGGCGGCGGGCUUAACACAUGCAAGUCGAACGGAAAGGCACUGCGUGUGUGGGGUGCUCGAGGGGCGAACGGGUGAGGAACACGUGAGUAACCUGCCCUUGACUUUGGGAUAACUUCAGGAAGCUGGGGCUAAUACCGGAUAGGAGCUCCUGCUGCAUGGAGGGGGUUGGAAAGUUUCGGCGGGUGGGGCUGGACGCGCGGCUGAUGAGCUUGUUGGUGGGGGAGUGGCUGACCAAGGCUUUGACGGGUAGCCGGCAGGGGAGGGUGACCGGCCACAUUGGUCCUGCGGUACGGACCAGAGUCCUACGGGGGGCAGCAGUGGGGAAUAUUGCCCAAUGGGCGGGAGCCUGAUACAGCAGCGCUGCGGUCGUGAUGACGGCCUUCGGGUUGUAAACCGCUUUCGCCUGUGACGAAGCGUUAGUGACGGUAAUGGGUAAAGAAGCACCGGCUAACUACGUG
Molecule: ribosomal RNA, 468 nt
Filed under: uncultured bacterium
Lineage: Bacteria
Description: partial 16S ribosomal RNA
Rfam family: Bacterial small subunit ribosomal RNA
Source: RNAcentral